GCCCAAGUGGCGGAAUGGCAGACGCAGUCGACUCAAAAUCGACCGUCCCGAAAGGACGUGGGGGUUCGACUCCCCCCUUGGGCA
RNAcentral lists this transfer RNA (84 nucleotides) under Propionibacteriaceae bacterium. Its description in RNAcentral is "tRNA-Leu". It matches the Rfam family "tRNA". From Rfam's summary of the family: Transfer RNA (tRNA) molecules are approximately 80 nucleotides in length. Their secondary structure includes four short double-helical elements and three loops (D, anti-codon, and T loops). The record is from RNAcentral. Lineage: Bacteria; Bacillati; Actinomycetota; Actinomycetes; Propionibacteriales; Propionibacteriaceae.